Molecule: ribosomal RNA, 246 nt
Filed under: uncultured bacterium
Lineage: Bacteria
Description: partial 16S ribosomal RNA
Rfam family: Bacterial small subunit ribosomal RNA
Source: RNAcentral
GGAGGGUGCAAGCGUUAUCCGGAUUCACUGGGUUUAAAGGGUGCGUAGGAGGACUGGUAAGUCAGUGGUGAAAUCUCCGGGCUUAACUCGGAAACUGCCGUUGAUACUAUCAGUCUUGAAUACCGUGGAGGUGAGCGGAAUAUGUCAUGUAGCGGUGAAAUGCUUAGAUAUGACAUAGAACACCAAUUGCGAAGGCAGCUCACUACACGAAUAUUGACUCUGAGGCACGAAAGCGUGGGGAUCAAA